Gasterosteus aculeatus aculeatus (three-spined stickleback) is the source of this 262-nucleotide long non-coding RNA. Lineage: Eukaryota; Metazoa; Chordata; Actinopteri; Perciformes; Gasterosteidae. The record is from Ensembl.
GUUGACUGACUGCUGCCGGUUCUCUUCCGCUCGUGCUGCAGAGAGCAACCCUGCAGGAGCAUGGAGGAGAAGAGGAGGAGGAGAAGAGGAGGAGGAGGAGGAGGAAGAGGAGGCGGAGGAAGAGGAGUCUGUGCCAGAAUCACCGGCAAGCUGCGGUGAUUAGAAUGAGCCCAGCUGGCCCGGGGCCCCUCCAGGAGCCACUGCAGUGAGCUAUUUAUGGUCUCCUCAACAGCAAGGUCCCGCCUCUCGUGAGACAUUUUCA